AGAGUUUGAUCAUGGCUCAGGAUGAACGCUAGCUACAGGCUUAACACAUGCAAGUCGAGGGGAAACGACAUCGAAAGCUUGCUUUUGAUGGGCGUCGACCGGCGCACGGGUGAGUAACGCGUAUCCAACCUGCCCACCACUUGGGGAUAACCUUGCGAAAGUAAGACUAAUACCCAAUGACGUCUCUAGAAGACAUCUGAAAGAAUUAAAGAUUUAUCGGUGAUGGAUGGGGAUGCGUCUGAUCAGCUUGUUGGCGGGGUAACGGCCACAAGGCGACGAUCAGUAGGGGUUCUGAGAGGAAGGUCCCCCANAUUGGAACUGAGACACGGUCCAAACUCCUACGGGAGCA
RNAcentral lists this ribosomal RNA (349 nucleotides) under uncultured bacterium. RNAcentral's name for it is "bacterial SSU rRNA". It matches the Rfam family "Bacterial small subunit ribosomal RNA", at positions 8 to 349 of the family's 1533-position model. The record is from RNAcentral.